GUGUCAGCAGCCGCGGUAAUACGAAGGGGGCGAGCGUUGUUCGGAUUUACUGGGCGUAAAGGGCGCGCAGGCGGCUUUGUUUGUCAGGCGUGAAAGCCCCGGGCUCAACCUGGGAAUAGCGCUUGGGACGGCAGGGCUAGAGAUCGGGAGAGGAGAGUGGAAUUCCCAGUGUAGAGGUGAAAUUCGUAGAUAUUGGGAAGAACACCGGUGGCGAAGGCGGCUCUCUGGACCGAGACUGACGCUGAGGCGCGAAAGCGUGGGGAGCAAACAGGAUUAGAAACCCCCGUAGUCC
This 292-nucleotide ribosomal RNA is filed under the name uncultured bacterium. Its description in RNAcentral is "partial 16S ribosomal RNA". It matches the Rfam family "Bacterial small subunit ribosomal RNA", at positions 505 to 796 of the family's 1533-position model. The record is from RNAcentral.